GAUGAACGCUGGCGGCGUGCCUAAUACAUGCAAGUCGAGCGAACGGACGAUAAGCUUGCUUCUCUGAUGUUAGCGGCGGACGGGUGAGUAACACGUGGAUAACCUACCUAUAAGACUGGGAUAACUUCGGGAAACCGGAGCUAAUACCGGAUAAUAUUUUGAACCGCAUGGUUCAAAAGUGAAAGACGGUCUUGCUGUCACUUAUAGAUGGAUCCGCGCUGCAUUAGCUAGUUGGUAAGGUAACGGCUUUCCAAGGCAACGAUGCGUAGCCGACCUGAGAGGGGGGUAGGCCCCACUGGGACUGGGACAGGGGCAAGGAUCCUAAGGGAGGGCAAAGGGGGGAAAUGUAGCGAAAGGGGGGAAAGCUUGAAGAAGAAACGCGGGGGUGGGGAAGAAGCGCUGCGGGUGGUAAAACGGUGUUAGGGGGGAAAAACGUUUUUGUAAGUAACGGAGAGUAAGUGAAGGUAACGGAAAAAGAAGGCCCGGCUAACUAAGUG
Molecule: ribosomal RNA, 497 nt
Filed under: uncultured bacterium
Lineage: Bacteria
Description: partial 16S ribosomal RNA
Rfam family: Bacterial small subunit ribosomal RNA
Source: RNAcentral